GGGGAUGCAAUGGUUUCGACGGGGGGAGAGGGGCGUGAGCAGCGGGCCGUGGCGGUGCACCACGAUAAAAGCGCCAAAACAAAUUAACUGACAACAAUAACACUGUUGCCGUCGCGGCCUGAUUAGGCCCGACCGUCCCGCCCGUCUUAGCACCGAACGGGGCCGGGGCGUCGAUCAGGUGCUGAACAUGUACGGACCUAAGCUUUGCCGUCCGUCAGGUACUCAUGAAGCUACCAAGGCGUAACGCGCGUGUGUUCGCUCACGCCAAGGGAAAUUCAAUAAGCACACUGCGCCCGGAGAUACUCUAACCGCUUUCUUUUCGGACAGGGGUUCGAUUCCCCUCAUCUCCACCA
Molecule: transfer-messenger RNA, 353 nt
Filed under: Oscillospiraceae
Lineage: Bacteria; Bacillati; Bacillota; Clostridia; Eubacteriales
Also listed under: 2 other names
Description: Gemmiger stercoripullorum Standard tmRNA
Rfam family: transfer-messenger RNA
About the family: Bacterial tmRNA, also known as 10Sa RNA or SsrA, is named for its dual tRNA and mRNA-like properties.
Source: RNAcentral